This 506-nucleotide ribosomal RNA is filed under the name uncultured bacterium. RNAcentral's name for it is "partial 16S ribosomal RNA". It matches the Rfam family "Bacterial small subunit ribosomal RNA", at positions 29 to 523 of the family's 1533-position model. The record is from RNAcentral.
AGUGAACGCUGGCGGUAGGCCUAACACAUGCAAGUCGAACGGCAGCACAGGAGAGCUUGCUCUCUGGGUGGCGAGUGGCGGACGGGUGAGGAAUACAUCGGAAUCUACUCUGUCGUGGGGGAUAACGUAGGGAAACUUACGCUAAUACCGCAUACGACCUACGGGUGAAAGCAGGGGACCUUCGGGCCUUGCGCGAUUGAAUGAGCCGAUGUCGGAUUAGCUAGUUGGCGGGGUAAAGGCCCACCAAGGCGACGAUCCGUAGCUGGUCUGAGAGGAUGAUCAGCCACACUGGAACUGAGACACUGUCCAGACUCCGACGGGAGGCAGCAGUGGGGAAUAUUGGACAAUGGGCGCAAGCCUGAUCCAGCCAUACCGCGUGGGUGAAGAAGGCCUUCGGGUUGUAAAGCCCUUUUGUUGGGAAAGAAAUCCAGCUGGCUAAUACCCGGUUGGGAUGACGGUACCCAAAGAAUAAGCACCGGCUAACUUCGUGCCAGCAGCCGCGGUAA